UCAUUGACGUGUUUCACUUCGGGCGGA
Molecule: non-coding RNA, 27 nt
Filed under: Bombyx mori (domestic silkworm)
Lineage: Eukaryota; Metazoa; Arthropoda; Insecta; Lepidoptera; Bombycidae
Source: RNAcentral